RNAcentral lists this ribosomal RNA (434 nucleotides) under uncultured bacterium. RNAcentral's name for it is "partial 16S ribosomal RNA". It matches the Rfam family "Bacterial small subunit ribosomal RNA", at positions 28 to 507 of the family's 1533-position model. The record is from RNAcentral.
GGCGAACGCUGGCGGCGGGCCUAACACAUGCAAGUCGAACGGACCUGUCGGGGUUAAUGGCGGACGGGGGAGUACGACGUGGGAACGUGCAUUUAGGUACGGAAUAACUCAGGGUAACUUGUGCUCAUACCGAAUGUGCUCUUCGGGGGUAAGAUUUAUCGCCGUUUGAGCGGCCCGCGUCUGAUUAGCUAGUUGGGUGAGGUAAUGGCUCACCAAGGCGACGAUCAGUAGCUGGUAGGUGAGGAUGAUCCGCCACAUCGGGACUGCGACACGGCCCAAACUCGUACGGGAGGGAGCAGUGGGGAAUCCUGCGCAAUGGGCGCAAGUCUGACAACGCCACGCGGGGGGAAUGAUGAUGGGCUUAGGAUUCUAAAAUUGUUUGAGACGGGACGAUAAUGACGGUACCCGGUGAAGAAGCCCCGGCUAACUACGUG